UACCCGCAGCACAAGUGGUGGUCAUUAUUAUUGGGCCUAAAGCGUCCGUAGCUGGCUUGUUAGAUGCCUGGGUAAAUCGAUGCGCUUAACGCAUCGAAUUCCGGGUAGACCGGCAAGCUCGAGACCGAGAGAGGUGUAGGGUACUCGGGGGGUAGGGGUAAAAUCCUGUAAUCCUCCGGGGACGACCAGUGGCGAAGGCGCUACACUAGAACGGCUCUGACAGUGAGGGACGAAGCCCUGGGGCGCAAACCGG
This 253-nucleotide ribosomal RNA is filed under the name uncultured bacterium. Its description in RNAcentral is "partial 16S ribosomal RNA". It matches the Rfam family "Archaeal small subunit ribosomal RNA", at positions 474 to 727 of the family's 1478-position model. The record is from RNAcentral.